RNAcentral lists this long non-coding RNA (514 nucleotides) under Heterocephalus glaber (naked mole-rat). RNAcentral describes it as "lncRNA (ENSHGLG00100041797.1)". Lineage: Eukaryota; Metazoa; Chordata; Mammalia; Rodentia; Bathyergidae. The record is from RNAcentral.
AGACCUUCGGAAAGUUGGAAAACGGCAACAGCUCAUCCUCCCCUCUUCUCUGUCUCCCUCCAAGGGGUCAGGACGGGAGACACCUUCAGAAGUGUGCCCAGCAUCGUUGGGUUCUAAUACCAAGGAAGUGAGGUCGCAUCCUCAAAGUUCCUCUACAGUUAGGGUCCUUGAUGGAUACCCAACAUGCAGACUGUGACGGUACUGGAGCCUUAACUGCCUUUUCCACUUCUGCCGUCUCUUCACUGGAUGGUGGAGUUUUCCAGAGGCUCCAUGAUAUAUGGGGCAAAGUGAAACCACAACAAACAAAACCAGAAGCUAAGCAACAAGGUCCAUGGAUGGGGAGAUGUGGAAAAGAAUGUUUCUAGGUAUAAAGAAAAAGCUGAGACCAGCAUUUCAGAAUGACAGCCAUGACUAACAGCAGUCUGCAAUUUCUGUCCUAUGUGGCUCUUUGAACUUGGAGCCUGAGCCAAACACAUGAAAUAAAGGAGCUGCAGAUGACAACUCAGGACAUGAG